This 671-nucleotide ribosomal RNA is filed under the name Ceratobasidium sp. Its description in RNAcentral is "eukaryotic LSU rRNA". The stretch from base 239 to 392 matches the Rfam family "5.8S ribosomal RNA". Lineage: Eukaryota; Fungi; Basidiomycota; Agaricomycetes; Cantharellales; Ceratobasidiaceae. The record is from RNAcentral.
GAGGAAGUAAAAGUCGUAACAAGGUUUCCGUAGGUGAACCUGCGGAAGGAUCAUUAUUGAAUGAAUGUAGAGUUGGUUGUCGCUGGUCCUUUCGGGGGCAUGUGCACGCCUUCUCUUUCAUCCACACACACCUGUGCACUUGUGAGACGGAGGACUUUAAUUAGUCUUCCGUCUACUUAAUCACACAAACUCAUUUUAAUUAAACUGAAUGUAAUUGAUGUAACGCAUCAUUAGAACUAAGUUUCAACAACGGAUCUCUUGGCUCUCGCAUCGAUGAAGAACGCAGCGAAAUGCGAUAAGUAAUGUGAAUUGCAGAAUUCAGUGAAUCAUCGAAUCUUUGAACGCACCUUGCGCUCCUUGGUAUUCCUUGGAGCAUGCCUGUUUGAGUAUCAUGAAAUUCUCAAAGUAAAUCUUUUGUUAAUUCAACUGGUUUGCUUUGGAUUUGGAGGUCUUUGCAGAUUUCACGUCUGCUCCUCUUAAAUGCAUUAGCUGGAUCUCAGUAUAUGCUUGGUUCCACUCGGCGUGAUAAGUAUCACUCGCUGAGGACACUGUUAAAAAGGUGGCCAGGAAAUACAGAUGAACCGCUUCUAAUAGUCUAUUAAGUUAGACAAUUAAUUUUAAGAUCUGAUCUCAAAUCAGGUAGGACUACCCGCUGAACUUAAGCAUAUCAU